Cebus imitator (Panamanian white-faced capuchin) is the source of this 163-nucleotide long non-coding RNA. RefSeq lists it as uncharacterized. The transcript is spliced from 2 exons. The record is from RefSeq and is a predicted model, not a curated record. NCBI's taxonomy places the organism in Eukaryota, Metazoa, Chordata, Mammalia, Primates, Cebidae.
GGCACCACGAGUAGCCUUCGCUGUAGUCCUGGUGCAGGCUCUUGGGGCCGGCGGCGGCGACGAAGGCUGCGGGGAGACGCGGCGGCGGUGUGAACAGAUGCAGCCGGCCAGGUGUGACCCCGAGUCUGACCCGCAGCCAGGGAGGACACCUGUCCAUGGGAGG